UUGAACGCUGGCGGCAUGCCUUACACAUGCAAGUCGAACGGCAGCGCGGGGCAACCUGGCGGCGAGUGGCGAACGGGUGAGUAAUAUAUCGGAACGUACCCUGGAGUGGGGGAUAACGUAGCGAAAGUUACGCUAAUACCGCAUACGUCCUGAGGGAGAAAGCGGGGGAUCGCAAGACCUCGCGCGAUUGGAGCGGCCGAUAUCGGAUUAGCUAGUUGGUGAGGUAAAGGCUCACCAAGGCGACGAUCCGUAGCGGGUCUGAGAGGACGACCCGCCACACUGGAACUGAGACACGGUCCAGACUCCUACGGGAGGCAGCAGUGGGGAAUUUUGGACAAUGGGGGAAACCCUGAUCCAGCCAUUCCGCGUGAGUGAAGAAGGCCUUCGGGUUGUAAAGCUCUUUCAGCAGGAACGAAACGGUCGGCUUUAAUAAAGUCGGCUAAUGACGGUACCUGCAGAAGAAGCACCGGCUAACUACGU
RNAcentral lists this ribosomal RNA (480 nucleotides) under uncultured bacterium. RNAcentral's name for it is "bacterial SSU rRNA". It matches the Rfam family "Bacterial small subunit ribosomal RNA", at positions 29 to 506 of the family's 1533-position model. The record is from RNAcentral.